UUGUUUCCCUACUCUUAAAUGAGACAUCAUAACCUUCCUGUUUUGCUCUUCCAAGGGGCUUGGAGCUACUCCUCGAGGAAGCAUUUUCCAAUUCCCCAGUGGAUUUUACAAACGCUAAGAACUACCGUGGAGUAAAAACCUUCCUCUCUGUUGUUACACCGGGGACCCCAAGGGGGCAGUGUCACCGCAUCCGGCAUCUCCUCCAGCUCGAGGCGCGAUUACCACGAGGAGCAACCCUUAUGGAUUCAGUAUAUCUCACAUCCAAGAAUACUACUCAAAUAGUGACAGCCUCCUGCCAACUCCGAGUUGGAAUGAGUUCAGAUUAAUCUAGCAACGGAGUCACAGAAUCGUAGACUAUCUCCCCUGGACAAGGUCUCGUGGAGCUUUCCAUUCACCCUGGAGAGACAAGGAAUCGGAGACCCACAGCAGUCAAUCUGUCCAUCCAGUACCUGGAGGUAGUCGGUCACACUUCAGUGGGUGAGCAGGGCUCCGCAGUGUAACGCCACCCCGGUAAUUCACCUGCCACCCACUCAUCUUCUGCUCGACGUCUGCUGCAGCUCAGCCUUCGCCACCUCCCGGGCCCACAAGCAUCACUCACGGCGCGACACUAAGGGGCUCCAGUGGACACUGCCGGCCCUGCACAGGGCACAGGGGAAAUGGCCUCCCCUGUGAGCCCCACUGCCCAAGCACCAUCAGCCCUGCUGCCUGCACCUCUGGCAUCUAAAGCAAACGGACAUUUUUCAUUGACCUCUAAACCCUCCACUGAAGCACGAAGGACGCCCACUGAACGGACUGCUCAGCAGCUCCAGGCAAAAGACUGAGACUACUUCGGAGUCUAAGGAGAAUGUCACUCACCCUGUAA
Heterocephalus glaber (naked mole-rat) is the source of this 862-nucleotide long non-coding RNA. RefSeq lists it as uncharacterized. The record is from RefSeq and is a predicted model, not a curated record. Lineage: Eukaryota; Metazoa; Chordata; Mammalia; Rodentia; Bathyergidae.